This 1008-nucleotide ribosomal RNA is filed under the name Triticum aestivum (bread wheat). RNAcentral's name for it is "partial small subunit ribosomal RNA". Lineage: Eukaryota; Viridiplantae; Streptophyta; Magnoliopsida; Poales; Poaceae. The record is from RNAcentral.
AUGACACACACCUCCUCACCUCGUCUCUUCUCCUUCCAAGAUCCACCACGCCACGGUCGCCAUGGGCCUGGACGGCGCGCCGGCCUGCUCCAUCCCCACUCAAAAUCUCGAGCGUAUGUGCGUGGGGAGACGGCGGCCAGAAUGACCGGAUUCGCGCCGUCGUCAAGGGCACCUGGCGCCAUGGAGUGGAGCUGCCUGGGACGCCGCUCCUUCGUCAAGGACAAGCGCAGCUGCCGGCGCCAUCCAGGACUCCACUCAGGGAGGAGGACGGUGCCGGCGGUGAGCUGGAGGAGGAGGUGUUCGACGUCGUGGCGGAUCGCGCACUGGCGCUCCCCCAGGCCCACUGGUCUGUCCAGCGAUCGCGCGGCGCGGGGUGUUGGGGUGGAUCGCCGGUGGAUUCGAUUCGGGCCUCCGGGCAUGGAGCGUCGCGGGUUGCUCAAGGCGGUUCUACUGGCGUCGUGCUUGCUCUCCGGGAGAGGAGUUGUCUGUGCAAGGGUAGGACAAGGUGUACAAGGACGUGAUCGAGCCGCUGGAGAGCGUCAGCAUCAACAUGAUCCCCACCACCAAGACAUCCGUGACCUCAGCCCGCCCGACCCCGCCACCCGCGAGUGGACCUCAAGACUACUAUGUACCACGCCGAUGACAUCCUUGACGACUUCCGCUAUGAGGUGCUGCGCCGCCGUGCAACCCAGAUCCACCGCCGUUGCUGCACUGCUCGCAAGCUAUGAAGAAGUAAAAGCAAAGGGGUCGGAGAAUUUCGAUAGGGAGCUUGAGGACAUGAUAGACAGGCUCAUCGUGGAGUGCGAGCGGAAAAUCCAGGGGGUGCUCAAAUGCCUCACCGACGAGGAUGCCAAGGCUGCUAUCGCAAUAUCUGUCUCCGAGGUCACUCAGUCUGAAGAGGUUGCGCAGUUGUCAAAAGAAAUCAAGGAGAAAAUGAAAGAAGCUGAUAUCUUUGCUAUAUUAAGUCUUGACCACAAUUUUGAACACUCUUCACCAGACACAGCAUGA